GUGGGUGUAGCUCAAGUGGCAGAGCUCAUGCUUAGCAUGCAGGAGGUCCUGGGUUUAAUCCCCAGUACCUCCU
This 73-nucleotide transfer RNA is filed under the name Camelus bactrianus (Bactrian camel). It matches the Rfam family "tRNA". From Rfam's summary of the family: Transfer RNA (tRNA) molecules are approximately 80 nucleotides in length. Their secondary structure includes four short double-helical elements and three loops (D, anti-codon, and T loops). Further hydrogen bonds mediate the characteristic L-shaped molecular structure. tRNAs have two regions of fundamental functional importance: the anti-codon, which is responsible for specific mRNA codon recognition, and the 3' end, to which the tRNAs corresponding amino acid is attached (by aminoacyl-tRNA synthetases). tRNAs cope with the degeneracy of the genetic code in two manners: having more than one tRNA (with a specific anti-codon) for a particular amino acid; and 'wobble' base-pairing, i.e. permitting non-standard base-pairing at the 3rd anti-codon position. Lineage: Eukaryota; Metazoa; Chordata; Mammalia; Artiodactyla; Camelidae. RNAcentral also lists the same sequence under 2 other names. The record is from Rfam by way of RNAcentral.